This 495-nucleotide ribosomal RNA is filed under the name uncultured bacterium. Its description in RNAcentral is "partial 16S ribosomal RNA". It matches the Rfam family "Bacterial small subunit ribosomal RNA", at positions 28 to 505 of the family's 1533-position model. The record is from RNAcentral.
GAUGAACGCUGGCGGCGUGCCUAAUACAUGCAAGUCGAGCGAACGGACGAGAAGCUUGCUUCUCUGAUGUUAGCGGCGGACGGGUGAGUAACACGUGGAUAACCUACCUAUAAGACUGAGAUAACUUCGGGAAACCGGAGCUAAUACCGGAUAAUAUUUUGAACCGCAUGGUUCAAAAGUGAAAGACGGUCUUGCUGUCACUUAUAGAUGGAUCCGCGCCGCAUUAGCUAGUUGGUAAGGUAACGGCUUACCAAGGCAACGAUGCAUAGCCGACCUGAGAGGGGGAUCGGCCACACUGGAACUGAGACCCGGUCCAGACUCCUACGGGGGGCAGCAGUAGGGAAUCUGCCGCAAUGGGCGAAAGCCUGACGGAGCAACGCCGCGUGAGUGAUGAAGGUCGUCGGAUCGUAAAACUCUGUUAUUAGGGAAGAACAUAUGUGUAAGUAACUGUGCACAUCUUGACGGUACCAAAUCAGAAAGCCACGGCUAACUACG